RNAcentral lists this ribosomal RNA (364 nucleotides) under Citrobacter koseri. Its description in RNAcentral is "bacterial SSU rRNA". It matches the Rfam family "Bacterial small subunit ribosomal RNA", at positions 38 to 392 of the family's 1533-position model. The record is from RNAcentral. Lineage: Bacteria; Pseudomonadati; Pseudomonadota; Gammaproteobacteria; Enterobacterales; Enterobacteriaceae.
GGGGGGGCGGGGAGGCCUACACUGCAAGUCGAACGGUAACAGGAAGCAGCUUGCUGCUUUGCUGACGAGUGGCGGACGGGUGAGGAAUAGUCUGGGAAACUGCCCGAUGGAGGGGGAUAACUAUGGAAACGGAAGCUAAUACCGCAUAAUGUCGCAAGACCAAAGAGGGGGACCUUCGGGCCUCUUGCCAUCGGAUGUGCCCCUUUUAUGUUGAAGCUUGUUGGUGAGGUAACGGCUCACCAAGGCGACGAUCCCUAGCUGGUCUGAGAGGAUGACCAGCCACACUGGAACUGAGACACGGUCCUUACUCCUACGGGAGGUUUCAGUGGGGAAUAUUGCUCAAUGGUCUCUUGUCUGAUGCAGC